RNAcentral lists this ribosomal RNA (446 nucleotides) under uncultured bacterium. RNAcentral describes it as "partial 16S ribosomal RNA". It matches the Rfam family "Bacterial small subunit ribosomal RNA", at positions 338 to 795 of the family's 1533-position model. The record is from RNAcentral.
CCUACGGGUGGCAGCAGUCGAGAAUCAUUCACAAUGGGGGAAACCCUGAUGGUGCGACGCCGCGUGGGGGAAUGAAGGUCUUCGGAUUGUAAACCCCUGUCAUGUGGGAGCAAAUUAAAAAGAUAGUACCACAAGAGGAAGAGACGGCUAACUCUGUGCCAGCAGCCGCGGGAAUACAGAGGUCUCAAGCGUUGUUCGGAAUCACUGGGCGUAAUGCGUGCGUAGGCUGUGUCGUAAGUCGUGUGUGAAAGGCGCGGGCUCAACCCGCGGACGGCACAUGAUACUGCGAGACUAGAGUAAUGGAGGGGGAACCGGAAUUCUCGGUGUAGCAGUGAGAUGCGUAGAUAUCGAGAGGAACACUCGUGGCGAAGGCGGGUUCCUGGACAUUAACUGACGCUGAGGCACGAAGGCCAGGGGAGCGAAAGGGAUUAGAUACCCCAGUAGUC